AUUGAACGCUGGCGGCAUGCUUUACACAUGCAAGUCGAACGGUAACAGGCCGAAAGGUGCUGACGAGUGGCGAACGGGUGAGUAAUGCAUCGGAACGUGCCCAGUCGUGGGGGAUAACGCAGCGAAAGCUGUGCUAAUACCGCAUACGAUCUAUGGAUGAAAGCGGGGGACCGUAAGGCCUCGCGCGAUUGGAGCGGCCGAUGUCAGAUGAGGUAGUUGGUGGGGUAAAGGCUCACCAAGCCAACGAUCUGGAGCUGGUCUGAGAGGACGACCAGCCACACUGGGACUGGGACACGGCACAGACGCCUACGGUAGGCAGCAGUGGGGAAUUUUGGACAAUGGGCGCAAGCCUGAUCCAGCAAUGCCGCGUGCAGGAAGAAGGCCUUCGGGUUGUAAACUGCUUUUGUACGGAACGAAAAGGUUUGGGUUAAUACCCUGGGCCGAUGACGGUACCGUAAGAAUAAGCACCGGCUAACUACGUGCCAGCCGCCGCGGUAA
RNAcentral lists this ribosomal RNA (498 nucleotides) under uncultured bacterium. RNAcentral describes it as "partial 16S ribosomal RNA". It matches the Rfam family "Bacterial small subunit ribosomal RNA", at positions 29 to 523 of the family's 1533-position model. The record is from RNAcentral.